UUUAGGUGCAAAUUACCCCAGUGAUAGGCAAUUUUUCUCAAAGCCAUUGGAUAAGAUGCCAGAAGUGGAAGAAUUAAACUUCAGAGACAAAAGAUUUAAUUAAUUUUUUAAGACCUCCAAAUGAGCUCUUAAAAAUGAAAUGGCUCCAAAAUGCAUUGAAGUGAGAGCUAGAUUUCAGGAGUAAGUGAACACGGGAGGCAACAGGAGCACUGCUACGUACAGGGGGCUUGUCUGGAUCUGGGCUCAGCCUCACCGUCACACCCAUACGUCUGCCAGCAGUUUGUUACUUUCACAAAGAUGAGAAUGUGCAGUUUCAUUGUGAAGGACAUACGUAUGGAGACACAUAGGCAUGAAUGCACAGAAAGGAUUCAUCACUGUAUCUCACAUGGAAUACAGUGGUGCCUACUACAUAGAGUUGUUGUGAAGAUUACAAACAUGCCUGGCAUAUGGUAAAUAUUUAUAAAGAUCUGCAAGAAAAAUAAUAUAAGGCAAAUUACCUUUGCCUCUCAAAUGCCUUCUUAAUCCAGUUGUUCUUAAGAUGUGGCCUGAUCCCUCAGAGGAAUCAGGGGUCCUGAGAUCCACUCAGGGAAUCUAAAAGGUCAAAACUAUUUUCACAUUAAAACUUUUUAUUCUAAAAGACACAAGACUGAUAACAUUUUAGCAGUAGUAUAAAAAUGAGUAUAGAAAGAACUUUCUAGAAGCUAAUGGCAGGCAAUACAGAUUAAAUGUAGAUGCAGAGAGAAGAUUCCACUUUCUACUAAUAAGCCAUAUACUAAAGAAAGUGCAGAUUUCUGGAAAAGUGCUGAAAGCACACACUGGAGAUAGGACAGCCUGGUACCAGGAGGCUCUGGGAACUGGUGUCCACAUGAAACUGG
Molecule: long non-coding RNA, 875 nt
Filed under: Marmota monax (woodchuck)
Lineage: Eukaryota; Metazoa; Chordata; Mammalia; Rodentia; Sciuridae
Source: RNAcentral